RNAcentral lists this ribosomal RNA (1434 nucleotides) under uncultured organism. Its description in RNAcentral is "16S ribosomal RNA". It matches the Rfam family "Bacterial small subunit ribosomal RNA". The record is from RNAcentral.
GCUGGCGGCGUGCUUAACACAUGCAAGUCGAACGGAAAGGCCCUGCUUUUGUGGGGUGCUCGAGUGGCGAACGGGUGAGUAACACGUGAGUAACCUGCCCUUGACUUUGGGAUAACUUCAGGAAACUGGGGCUAAUACCGGAUAGGAGCUCCUGCUGCAUGGUGGGGGUUGGAAAGUUUCGGCGGUUGGGGAUGGACUCGCGGCUUAUCAGCUUGUUGGUGGGGUAGUGGCUUACCAAGGCUUUGACGGGUAGCCGGCCUGAGAGGGUGACCGGCCACAUUGGGACUGAGAUACGGCCCAGACUCCUACGGGAGGCAGCAGUGGGGAAUAUUGCACAAUGGGCGGAAGCCUGAUGCAGCAACGCCGCGUGCGGGAUGACGGCCUUCGGGUUGUAAACCGCUUUCGCCUGUGACGAAGCGUGAGUGACGGUAAUGGGUAAAGAAGCACCGGCUAACUACGUGCCAGCAGCCGCGGUGAUACGUAGGGUGCGAGCGUUGUCCGGAUUUAUUGGGCGUAAAGGGCUCGUAGGUGGUUGAUCGCGUCGGAAGUGUAAUCUUGGGGCUUAACCCUGAGCGUGCUUUCGAUACGGGUUGACUUGAGGAAGGUAGGGGAGAAUGGAAUUCCUGGUGGAGCGGUGGAAUGCGCAGAUAUCAGGAGGAACACCAGUGGCGAAGGCGGUUCUCUGGGCCUUUCCUGACGCUGAGGAGCGAAAGCGUGGGGAGCGAACAGGCUUAGAUACCCUGGUAGUCCACGCUGUAAACGGUGGGUACUAGGUGUGGGGUCCAUUCCACGGGUUCCGUGCCGUAGCUAACGCUUUAAGUACCCCGCCUGGGGAGUACGGCCGCAAGGCUAAAACUCAAAGGAAUUGACGGGGCCCCGCACAAGCGGCGGAGCAUGCGGAUUAAUUCGAUGCAACGCGUAGAACCUUACCUGGGUUUGACAUGGAUCGGGAGUGCUCAGAGAUGGGUGUGCCUCUUUUGGGGUCGGUUCACAGGUGGUGCAUGGCUGUCGUCAGCUCGUGUCGUGAGAUGUUGGGUUAAGUCCCGCAACGAGCGCAACCCUUGUUCACUGUUGCCAGCACGUUAUGGUGGGGACUCAGUGGAGACCGCCGGGGUCAACUCGGAGGAAGGUGGGGAUGACGUCAAGUCAUCAUGCCCCUUAUGUCCAGGGCUUCACGCAUGCUACAAUGGCUGGUACAGAGAGUGGCGAGCCUGUGAGGGUGAGCGAAUCUCGGAAAGCCGGUCUCAGUUCGGAUUGGGGUCUGCAACUCGACCUCAUGAAGUCGGAGUCGCUAGUAAUCGCAGAUCAGCAACGCUGCGGUGAAUACGUUCCCGGGGCUUGUACACACCGCCCGUCAAGUCAUGAAAGUUGGUAACACCCGAAGCCGGUGGCCUAACCGUUGUGGGGGAGCCGUCGAAGGUGGGACUGGUGAUU